GUGAGGAAUAUUGGUCAAUGGGCGCAAGCCUGAACCAGCCAUCCCGCGUGAAGGACGACGGCCCUAUGGGUUGUAAACUUCUUUUGUACGGGAAGCACGUGCGCUAUGUAUAGCGUAUUGACGGUACCGUACGAAUAAGCAUCGGCUAACUCCGUGCCAGCAGCCGCGGUAAUACGGAGGAUGCGAGCGUUAUCCGGAUUCAUCGGGUUUAAAGGGUGCGUAGGCGGCCCGGUAAGUCAGCGGUGAAAGUUUGCGGCUCAACCGUAAAAUUGCCGUUGAUACUGUCGGGCUUGAGUUCAGAUGAAGUGGGCGGAAUGAGUAGUGUAGCGGUGAAAUGCUUAGAUAUUACUCAGAACACCGAUUGCGAAGGCAGCCCACUAAACUGCGACUGACGCUGAUGCACGAAAGCGUGGGGAUCGAACAGGAUUAGAUACCCUUGUAGUCC
Molecule: ribosomal RNA, 445 nt
Filed under: uncultured bacterium
Lineage: Bacteria
Description: partial 16S ribosomal RNA
Rfam family: Bacterial small subunit ribosomal RNA
Source: RNAcentral